This 469-nucleotide long non-coding RNA is filed under the name Helianthus annuus (common sunflower). RNAcentral describes it as "sRNA HanXRQr2_Chr04g0166411". The record is from RNAcentral. Lineage: Eukaryota; Viridiplantae; Streptophyta; Magnoliopsida; Asterales; Asteraceae.
GGGUUUCCAACAUUCAGCGUCUUCUCCAAGCUUCCUCUCUCAAUCUUCUCCAAGCUUCCUCUCUCAAUCUCAAACGUCUGAUAAGUUGUUCCAUAUUAUUACUCAAUCUAGAUCUUCCCAUGUUAUUCAUCUUCAUUUUAUAUCAAUCAGUUAUAGAUCCAAAUGAAUCAAGUUUUUGAUAUUAAAGGAAGAAAUUUUUAGGGUUUCACAUCUCAUUCUCAAUCGGCUGACAGCAAGGUAAUCUUAGGGUUUCACAUCUCAUUCUCAUCAGGGAAGCAGGUUAUGUGCUUGAAGAUAUGCCUCACUUAACUGAUCCACUCAGGCAAGCUUUUUAUGUAAUGAAUUUAAUUCAUAAGGAAUUGAAAUUUGUGCCAGAUUAUUAGUUCUUAGUAUGUAGCAGUUGAAUUCUUUUUUAAUUUGAUGGUUCAUGUUUUGUAAAUAUGGGUUCAAUUUGUUUUAUGUGAGCUGA